This 28-nucleotide small RNA is filed under the name Bombyx mori (domestic silkworm). RNAcentral describes it as "ovarian small RNA-37572". The record is from RNAcentral. Lineage: Eukaryota; Metazoa; Arthropoda; Insecta; Lepidoptera; Bombycidae.
UUCUUGCAAUCCUUGAAAGCUCUGAGUG